GCAGCCGCCGCGGGAAUACGUAGGGUGCAAGCGUUAAUCGGAAUUACUGGGCGUAAGGCGUGCGCAGGCGGUUUGUUAAGACAGAUGUGAAAUCCCCGGGCUCAACCUGGGAACUGCAUUUGUGACUGGCAAGCUAGAGUGUGGCAGAGGGGGGUGGAAUUCCGCGUGUAGCAGUGAAAUGCGUAGAUAUGCGGAGGAACACCGAUGGCGAAGGCAGCCCCCUGGGCCAACACUGACGCUCAUGCACGAAAGCGUGGGGAGCAAACAGGAUUAGAUACCCCUGUAGUCCCUGUCUCUUAUAA
Molecule: ribosomal RNA, 302 nt
Filed under: uncultured bacterium
Lineage: Bacteria
Description: partial 16S ribosomal RNA
Rfam family: Bacterial small subunit ribosomal RNA
Source: RNAcentral